GUUGGCUUAGAAGCAGCCACCCUUUAAAGAAAGCGUAAUAGCUCACUAGUCGAGUCGGCCUGCGCGGAAGAUGUAACGGGGCUAAAACUAUAUGCCGAAGCUGCGGAUUUGCAAUUUAUUGCAAGUGGUAGGGGAGCGUUCUGUAAGCCGAUGAAGGUGUAUUGAGAAGUAUGCUGGAGGUAUCAGAAGUGCGAAUGCUGACAUGAGUAACGAUAAAGGGAGUGAGAGACUCCCUCGCCGAAAGUCCAAGGGUUCCUGCUUAAAGUUAAUCUGAGCAGGGUUAGCCGGCCCCUAAGGCGAGGCCGAAAGGCGUAGUCGAUGGGAACCACGUUAAUAUUCGUGGGCCUGGAGGUGUGUGACGGAUGGCGUAAGUUGUCAGGCCUUAUUGGAUUGGUCUGGCUUCGAAGUUGUCCCAGGAAAUAGCCCCUCCGUAUAGACCGUACCCUAAACCGACACAGGUGGGAUGGUAGAGUAUACCAAGGCGCUUGAGAGAACUAUGUUGAAGGAACUCGGCAAAUUGCACGCGUAACUUCGGAAGAAGCGUGACCCUCAUUCACGCAAGUGGGUGAGGGUGGCACAGACCAGGGGGUAGCGACUGUUUAUCAAAAACACAGGGCUCUGCGA
This 624-nucleotide ribosomal RNA is filed under the name Heterosigma akashiwo. RNAcentral describes it as "partial Bacterial large subunit ribosomal RNA". It matches the Rfam family "Bacterial large subunit ribosomal RNA", at positions 1100 to 1828 of the family's 2925-position model. The record is from RNAcentral. Lineage: Eukaryota; Raphidophyceae; Chattonellales; Chattonellaceae.